UAAUAUUAAUGAUACUUCCCAAAAAAUAAAUAUAACAAUUAAAAAAUAGGAUGACUUUAUCUGUGUCACCUCUUCUCAGUUGGCAUGGAUAAUUGCGGAAAUUGAACCCACAGGUUGUAAAAACUGAAGGGGUCACCGAAUUGCUAGGGCAAUUGAUACACAUGAAGAUGAAUCUUAUUUCCCUUACAGUUUUUUUUUUUUUUCAGAUAAAAAUGUUAGUUGUAGAAAUGGGGUAAAAUAAAAAUCAUCCAUAGUAACAUCAUCUAGAAAUAACAAAUUAACUUUAUACUUCAGGUAACAAUUUUAUUUUUUCCUUCUGUCUUUAGAAGUGUGUAUUAAAAUUCACAUUCUAUAUACCUGGGUUUGUAAUUCAGUUUUUGCAGUAAGGAAAAUGGCAAAGCCAUGCAUCUUUCUGUGUUUGGUGAAGGAGUUUUUGCACUCGUGAUAAGUUUUUAUUGGUGUACAACUUUAAAAGACAUGACUUGCUUGUAAAAUAUUAUCCAAAAGUUUGGCUGUUUUUAAAAACGAAACAAAACGAAAUAAGUCAAACAAAACCCCAGAGAGUAAAGGGAAAAAGGAAUCCUCUAAGAAGUAGAAGAGAAGAAGUCAGCACCACCCCAAAGAACUCCUGGAGAAUGGCAUGACUUCAAUA
Molecule: long non-coding RNA, 652 nt
Filed under: Papio anubis (olive baboon)
Lineage: Eukaryota; Metazoa; Chordata; Mammalia; Primates; Cercopithecidae
Description: lncRNA (ENSPANG00000047027.1)
Source: RNAcentral